Thiobacillus sp. 65-1059 is the source of this 185-nucleotide non-coding RNA. NCBI's taxonomy places the organism in Bacteria, Pseudomonadati, Pseudomonadota, Betaproteobacteria, Nitrosomonadales, Thiobacillaceae. The record is from Rfam.
UGUUCCCUGCGGUGUUCGAGGCUGGUUGCAAUUUCUCUGAACCAAUGCAUACGUGCAAGGCUGCGGUCUAUUCCGAUGCGGGUGUGCGCGUGACAUGUCUCAUGUGCCCAAAGUGUCUUUGAACGCGGCCGUCUUGAACCCAGGUUCAAGAGUCCGCAGCCAGUCACGGCACAGGCGGGGAACCC